This 139-nucleotide ribosomal RNA is filed under the name uncultured eukaryote. RNAcentral describes it as "partial 18S ribosomal RNA". It matches the Rfam family "Eukaryotic small subunit ribosomal RNA", at positions 1299 to 1458 of the family's 1831-position model. The record is from RNAcentral.
UGGUGGAGUGAUUUGUCUGGUUAAUUCCGAUAACGAACGAGACCUUAACCUGCUAAAUAGUUAGGCUAACCUCUGGUUGGUCGUCAACUUCUUAGAGGGACUAUCAGCGUUUAGCUGAUGGAAGUUUGAGGCAAUAACA